RNAcentral lists this transfer RNA (76 nucleotides) under Candidatus Midichloria mitochondrii. RNAcentral describes it as "tRNA-Ala(tgc)". It matches the Rfam family "tRNA". Rfam says of the family: Transfer RNA (tRNA) molecules are approximately 80 nucleotides in length. Lineage: Bacteria; Pseudomonadati; Pseudomonadota; Alphaproteobacteria; Rickettsiales; Candidatus Midichloriaceae. RNAcentral also lists the same sequence under 2 other names. The record is from RNAcentral.
GGGGACAUAGCUCAGCUGGUAGAGCACCUGCUUUGCAAGCAGGGGGUCAUCGGUUCGAUCCCGUUUGUCUCCACCA